CACAUGCAGUCGAGCGCCCUACUUCGGUAGGGAGCGGCGGACGGGUGAGUAACGCGUGGGAACGUCCCCUUUAGUUCAGAAUAGCCACUGGAAACGGUGAGUAAUACUGAAUACGCCCUUCGGGGGAAAGAUUUAUCGCUAAAGGAUCGGCCCGCGUUGGAUUAGCUAGUUGGUGGGGUAAAGGCCUACCAAGGCAACGAUCUAUAGCUGGUCUGAGAGGAUGAUCAGCCACACUGGGACUGAGACACGGCCCAGACUCCUACGGGAGGCAGCAGUGGGGAAUAUUGGACAAUGGGGGCAACCCUGAUCCAGCCAUGCCGCGUGAGUGAAGAAGGCCCUAGGGUUGUAAAGCUCUUUCAGAUGUGAGGAUGAUGACAGUAGCAUCAGAAGAAGCACCGGCUAACUUCGUGCCAGCAGCCGCGGAAAUACGAAGGGUGCUAGCGUUGUUCGGAAUUACUGGGCGUAAAGGGCGUGUAGGCGGAUGAUCAAGCUAGAGGUGAAAGCCCAGGGCCUAACCCUGGAACUGCCUUUAGAACUGAUUGUCUAGAAUCCCUAAGGGGAGUGUGGAAUUCCUAGUGUAGAGGUGAAAUUCCU
Molecule: ribosomal RNA, 594 nt
Filed under: uncultured marine bacterium
Lineage: Bacteria
Description: bacterial SSU rRNA
Rfam family: Bacterial small subunit ribosomal RNA
Source: RNAcentral